CCUACGGGAGGCAGCAGUGGGGAAUUUUGCGCAAUGACCGAAAGGUUGACGCAGCAACGCCGCGUGUAUGAUGAAGGCUUUCGGGUCGUAAAGUACUUUCAGUGGGGAAGAACUGCAUAAUCAGUAACUGGGUUAUGAUUGACGGUACCCACAGAAGCAGCCCCGGCUAACUCCGUGCCAGCAGCCGCGGUAAUACGGAGGGGGCAAGCGUUGUUCGGAGUCACUGGGCGUAAAGAGCUCGUAGGCGGCAGUGUAAGUCGGGAGUUAAAGGCAACAGCUCAACUGUUGUAAGGCUUCUGAAACUACAUUGCUAGAGUGCCAGAGAGGUAUGCGGAAUUCCCUGUGUAGCGGUGAAUGCGUAGAUAUAGGGAGGAACACCGGUUGCGAAGGCGGCAUACUGGCUGGUAACUGACGCUGUGGAGCGAAAGCGUGGGUAGCAAACA
Molecule: ribosomal RNA, 443 nt
Filed under: uncultured Deferribacteres bacterium
Lineage: Bacteria; Pseudomonadati; Deferribacterota; Deferribacteres
Description: bacterial SSU rRNA
Rfam family: Bacterial small subunit ribosomal RNA
Source: RNAcentral